This 3792-nucleotide long non-coding RNA is filed under the name Brassica napus (rape). RNAcentral describes it as "long non-coding RNA (BNAP_LNC003542)". Lineage: Eukaryota; Viridiplantae; Streptophyta; Magnoliopsida; Brassicales; Brassicaceae. The record is from RNAcentral.
GGCUGUCCAUGUCCAAAGGGCAUGUCCAAAUGGACAAAAUAGUUUAUUGGACAUUUUUUUUUUUAAGCCCAAAUUGUCCAAACCAAAUUGUCCAAACCAAAUUGGACCAUUCCAAAUGGGCCUUCCGCGGGGCCCAAAUAAAAUUGGACCAUUCAUACUAAAUUCAUUAAAAAAACAUAACUUGUGCUUAAAAAAAAAUUCAGAGCAUAAGCAAUUCAAAUGUUUUACACAUUCCAAAUCCAAAGCAUAGACAAUUUCAUAUAUUAAAGUUCAUACACAGAAAAAAAAAUCUAAAAACGAUGGUCUCUUCUUCUUUAUCUUCACUGAAACUUCAGUUAACAAGAACAUACGUGACAUUAUAAAUUUCUCAUUUAAACUUCAGCCUCUCCUGAAACACAUAAAAGUUGAAACUAUGAGUUUAAUCAUGUCACGUAGCCAUCAAUGUAACAUGAAUGAAUGAUACCACAAGCUCAGAUAGAACACAACUGACCAGUUCAUUGUAAUAACACUAAUGCUAGCAUCUUAUAAAAAAUGAAUUAGAUCAGACAACCGCAAGCUUAGACAGAACAUAAUUAACAAGUUAGCUAUCAGUUCACAAUGAUAACUAAAAACAUCAAGUUUUAAGCGUGAUAUUCAUCAGCAACGAAUGAAAGCAAUACCUUUAGUUGAGUCGAGUCCUUUUCUUUCCACUUUCUUCUGCUUCCUCAUCUAAGUCUUCCUUAUCUUCCUCAUCCAAAUCGCAUCCACCUACAAAACAAGAGAAGUUACUCAAUAGUUUCACAUAUCAAAUACUCAAUUAUAAAUUCAACACUCACCAAUUACUUCAUAACCACGAAGCCAGUUUCUAGCACAGAUCAGAGCUUCAACAUUUGAUGGGAGAAGUCGGCUCCUGUACUUGCUGAGAACCCUAUUUCCAACACUAAAGGAUGACUCAGAUGACACUGUUGUUAUUGGGAUGCAUAGAACAUCACAGGCCAUUUGAGACAGCUCCUUAAACCGGCUUGAGUUUUCCUUCCAGUACUUGAUGACAUCUAAUUUUGUAUUUGCUAACAUAUCAAGCACAGGUUCACUUAAAUACACAUCCAAAGCAGAUUUCCCUGUUCCUGCUUGUUGAGUGAAGAACGCAUAAAAGCCACCGUAACCAGCUGGUAAAGCAUCUGUUUCUGCUUCUUGUGAACUCUGAGCACUGGUACUCUUCUUCUUGUAAACUCCAUACAGCUUCACAAUCUUUUUGCGUAUGUAAUCCAUUUUUGACUUACAACUUGCUGGAUCAAGACUGUGGUAGCAGUACUCCAAAACCUUAAACUUCAUCCUAGGAUCUAAUACUGCUGCAAUGGCUAGAAUGUCGCUGUACUCAUCCCAGUACUUAUUGAAUUUGACCUUCAUUGAAGCCACCAUUUCACAAACCACUUCAUCUUCACAGAACUCAUUUGAUCCCAACCAGCUCUGAAUUUUCCAUACUUCCAUAAAGUACAGAUUCGCUGUAGGGUAAGAAGAGCCAGAAAUAAGCUUUGUCAUCUGAUAAAACGGCUCUAACAAACCACAAAUCAGCCCAGCUCUUAACCACUCUAACUCUGUAGGUAGACUUUGGUAACUUGUCUCAAUUUCAGCAAGAUUCUUAAAUGCUUCUUUGUAGUAAAGAGCCCUAGACAACAUCAGAUAGGUUGAGUUCCACCGCGUAGUAACAUCCAAGACUAAACCCCCUUUCUUAAUAAUCCCAACAGUCUCCACACAGCCUUGAAACAACAGCUCUCUAGACUCAGUAACUUUGACAUACUUAACGCUGUCUCUGAUCUUCUCCAAGGCCUCACUUAUCACCGAUAAUCCGUCUUGGACAAUGAGGUUCAGAAUGUGGGCAGCACACCUGAUGUGAAAGAACUCUCCACUGCAUACUAAAUCCUUUCUAAGUUGCCUCUUGAGAAAUCCUUGCAUGUUGUCAUUAGAGGAAGCAUUGUCUACGGUUACUGUGAAGACCUUCUUCUGCAACCCCCAUUCUUUAAUCAGCUCCAUUAGUUUCAUGGCAAUGGCCAGACCAGAAUGGGGUGGAGGGAAAGCACAAAAGGAGAGGAUCUUAGCUCUAAGGUUCCACUCAGGGUCGAUGUAGUGGGCAGUAAGACAGAGAUAGCCUUCGAUUGUGAUAGCUCUCCAUAAAUCCGUCGUUAGACAGAUCCUACCCGGAACUUCACUCAACACCUGCCUGAGCUUCAUUUUCUCCCUCUCAAAGAUCUUAAAAACAUCUGAAACUGCAGUGUUUCUACACCAGAACUUAACGGUUGGGUUGACAUACAAAAACGCUUCCCUAACCCUUCUAAACUCAACGAAAGCGUAAGGGAGAUCAUGCUCGACAAUUGCCACAGCAAUCAUUUCUCGAAAUACCAUCUGAUCAAUCUUCUUAGCCCCAGCUAGGGCACUACCAGGGGUCUUAGAGCAGAGUCUCGAAUGGCGAAGCAAAGUAUUAGUUCCACUUUUAUGCAAGUUUAGGAAGUAAUAGUGCUUACAGUAGUUGCAGACACAUUUAAAUUUACCAUCAGCCAUCUUAUCUCCUUCUAUUGUGAAGUAGUUCCAACACUUAGAAUGUCUACGCUUGUGUUUACCUUUCACCAUCUCGGCUGUACUCAUGAGAGACUCGUCCACCACAGGAUUGUUCUCGUCCAUUUCCUGUUCUGAAUCCUCAUGCUCACUCAUGUAGUCAUCAUCGUUGUUUAAACUCAUGAUAUCCAUCUGACAGCAAACAAGACUCAUUAGAAACAAGUCUAAGCGUGAGAAUCAUCAGCAAUGAAAUUAAUAGAACCACAAAUCCAUCAGUUAUAAGUACAAUAAACCGUCAACAGAAACAACACAUAAUUACUAUCAUCUUUAUACUUUACUAGAACUCAUUAAACUCAAAGCAAUAAAACUCAGUUAUAAGUGCAAUAAAAAAAUCACGACAUGAUAAAACUAAUCAUAAAUACAAUCAGUAAUAGAGCCUAUUUAACGUGAUCAACUAUGGCAACCUGUGGAUCAAGGCAGUAAUUUCACUGUAAGAUGAAACAGUCACCUGAGACAACAACAAAUGGUACAUUUUCAAGAACAUCCAGGACAAAGAAGUGUUGCAAUUUACUUAUAAAAUUAAGGCAUACGUACGUUCAUGAAAAUCUCUCUAGGAAAGACAAAGAGAAAAGUUGUCAAUUAGAACAAGUAGAUCUCUUCAGAACUCCUGAGAUUAACUAAAAAAAAACAAUUAAACAAACCAAACCCAGUUCACAAUCAGACCCAUUAAACAAAUUAAGCAUGACAGCUUGGUCGACAAGUUUCUCCAAAUCCUUGGAAUCACACUCAAGUUUCAUCACAUCACAAAAGGCACAUCACAUCACAUCACAUCACAAGUCUCCACAUUCGCACAAACUUCACAAUCAGACCCAUUAACUAGACAAUCAAACAAACCAAACCCAUUACCUGAGAGACGAGAGCUUGAGCCGGAGCCGGAGCCGGAGACGAGAGCUUGAGCCGGAGACGGUUCUUCGGUUGGAGACGAUUCUAGGAGAGUGAGAGAGCCGAGACUGUGGAAUCACAAACCCAUCAAAAUAAAAGAAAUCAAAUCGCAAAAGUGAGUGAGGACUGAGGAGAAUGAGAACAUACCUGAAGGCUGAAGCGAAUCGAAGACAAGAUAGAGUGAGAGACGGAGAGUCCAAGCAGAGAGAGGAGAGUCGAGACGGAGAGACACGGUUCCAGAGACGGGGAAACGAGGCGGAGAACGGAGAGGGACUCGCGACUCGCGAGAGAGAGAUCGGAGAAAGUGAGAAUCGAUUUCAA